RNAcentral lists this long non-coding RNA (1375 nucleotides) under Sander lucioperca (pikeperch). RNAcentral describes it as "lncRNA (ENSSLUG00000004130.1)". Lineage: Eukaryota; Metazoa; Chordata; Actinopteri; Perciformes; Percidae. The record is from RNAcentral.
CAGAGAGGGAGGCAGAGAGAGAGAGCCUGCUGCAGUAAAAACACCAACACCAACCGCCGCCGCCGCCGCCGCUGCUGCUGCUGCUGAGAAAACCUACAGCACCCAAACGCACCGCGCCGGGCGGGUUUGGUUUUAUCCUCCAGGUGUGUGAAGGAGGAACAACCGCGAAACGCAGGGAGGGAGGGGAAGGAGAAAAUCCAGCAACGUCGAUGAUUUGAUCCGCAGUUUAUCUCGGACAUAUCGCGGAGGAGUCUGCCGCUGCACACGGUGUUUCGGUCGGUCCACCUUAACGGGGGAAAAAAAAAGGAUAAGAAACCACCGGAGAUAUCUGCGGAGACGGACAGCUCUGUUUGGGGUAUAUUCUCGUUUUUCCGCCUACGGACGGGAGCAAUCUUUCCCCCGGAGCUUUGGUGUUUACGCGGCCGCUGCAGAGAGCGAGGCGAGCGGGGAGGAAGACGCGGUGUAGCCGGGGGAGGAGCGGCCGCACGGAGCAGGUUUCUCGGGGAAUCUUUUUAUUUCUUUCUUUUAAAAAGGGGUUAAAAAUUUAAAUAUCACGGUGCGGUGAUAUUAUCCGGAGGACUCUACAGCACACCUUUACCGACACCUCCGUCUACACAGAUGGGUUAAAAACACCCCGGUGCUGUUGUUCCGGAGAGCAGCCCCGCGCGCACACCUGCUCCCCUCCAGACCCGCGGGGGCUGGAUGAUGUAGCCCCCCCCCGCCUCUGCAUCACCAGCACUAUCCUCUAAGUCUCCACCUCCAGUGGUGGAAUGUAAUCAAGUACAUUUAGUCGAGUACUGCACUCAAGGAGACAAAUUUAAGUGUCUCUCCAGCCGCCCAGCGUCCCAACAUGCCGGCGGGGAUGAAACCGCUGGAGAAGUUCCUGAAGAAGCAGACCACGGCGCUGACCCGGGCCGGGGGGUUUGUCGGCGGGGUGGCGGACAAGGCCAGCGGGGGGACGGGGGCGUCCCGCCGGAGGGCCAGUCUGUCCCGGGUCGUUCCUUUCUUCAGGGAGACGUCACCGGAGAGCGGCCAGGCCCGGGAGGUGUUCAGCCCCGACAGUGAGGACCCCCCCCUCCUGGCCCUCAGCCACAGGGCCUGGUGUCGUCCCGGCGCCCGGCAGCGCUAACGGCUCCGGAGACGUCCGCAGCCCGUCUCUGUCCAGCGACGAGCAGAGCUCCGAGGCCAGUCUGAUCACGGAGAGCGGCAGCGGGGGCGGGACGCCCCUUCCUCCCGACACACCGGACAACCUGACCCUCGCUCUGCUGGACAGCGCGGCGGGAAAACGCUCUGGGGUCUGCACAGGUGAGACGGGAGACUUUUUGAUUGUUUCUAAUGUAGCUGCAUGGAAGGCCACGGGCCAAAAAUAAAUUGG